CUAGUUCUUACUUCUUGUAUCAGAUCACUAAUUAUUAAUUCUUUAAAGUGAUUGUGGACAUACCUCCAUUCUCUUGGAAAAUUAUCUGUCUUGAGGUCGUUCUUAAAUAUUCUGAUCAUUGAUGCUUUUAUCCUCAUGCUUUUCGUCCAAUUGAUUUUUUUUUUGCUCAUUUGAGUCAUUGAGGAUGAACUCUUUCAUUCCAUC
RNAcentral lists this long non-coding RNA (204 nucleotides) under Elaeis guineensis (African oil palm). RNAcentral describes it as "long non-coding RNA (EGUI_LNC037960)". Lineage: Eukaryota; Viridiplantae; Streptophyta; Magnoliopsida; Arecales; Arecaceae. The record is from RNAcentral.